AGCGAACGCUGGCGGCAGGCCUAACACAUGCAAGUCGAACGAACCUUUCGGGGUUAGUGGCGGACGGGUGAGUAACACGUGGGAACGUGCCUUUAGGUUCGGAAUAACUCAGGGAAACUUGUGCUAAUACCGAAUGUGCCCUUCGGGGGAAAGAUUAAUCGCCUUUAGAGCGGCCCGCGUCUGAUUAGCUAGUUGGUUGAGGUAAUGGCUCACCAAGGCGACGAUCAGUAGCUGGUCUGAGAGGAUGAUCAGCCACAUUGGGACUGAGACACGGCCCAAACUCCUGCGGGAGGCAGCAGUGGGUAAUCUUGCGCAAUGGGCGAAAGCCUGACGCAGCCAUGCCGCGUGAAUGAUGAAGGUCUUAGGAUUGUAAAAUUCUUUCACCGGGGACGAUAAUGACGGUACCCGGAGAAGAAGCCCCGGCUAACUUCGUG
Molecule: ribosomal RNA, 434 nt
Filed under: uncultured bacterium
Lineage: Bacteria
Description: partial 16S ribosomal RNA
Rfam family: Bacterial small subunit ribosomal RNA
Source: RNAcentral